Long non-coding RNA from Vigna unguiculata (cowpea), 1969 nucleotides. NCBI's taxonomy places the organism in Eukaryota, Viridiplantae, Streptophyta, Magnoliopsida, Fabales, Fabaceae. The record is from RefSeq and is a predicted model, not a curated record.
AAGACACUAUCAAUUCUCUAAAUUUGAUGUUGGAAUUGACCUGCUUCAUUGACAGUGGCCCAGCAGCGUACUAGAAGCCCUAAAAAGUUCUCUGUUCUUUAAGGAAUUUUGCAUCAAAUAAAGGAGCCAGUAUAUGACAUAUGACAUCUUUUUGGGCGUAUUAAGGCUGUGUUACACAUAAGAAAUGUCUCCACCAGGUAACUCUCAACGAUUUGUUUAUUUCUGAGCCUAGAGAUAGUGCUUAAUGAGUGUUACACUUUAAGUUAAAGUCAUCGUUAAUGGGACGUGCUACCGAAUAAAUACUGGUAUUAGAUAAAUCCGAUUGGAUUGGUUACCCUCCAAUUGAAGUUAUAUAUCAGGAAAAAACCAGAAAGGGACAAGAACUCUGGGACUUGUUAGACUAAAUGACCCUUAUGAUAUGCCUUGAAAUUUGCUCACAUGGUAUGAUGAUCUUUAUGGAAAUACUUCAAGGAAAAUAAAGCAAAAUUAUGUGAUGUUUUUAUAUCAGAGUCACAAGGAAUCGGUUGCUGUAAAAAAUGUGGUUUAAUAAUCAAGUCAAGAACUUGGUUCAUGGCAUUUAAACAAUUAAUUAUGGAUCAGAUUCAGCCUAAUCUUUGAGUAUAUGCUAUGGCCUGUGGGGCAAUUUGAAACUCAGUUGAUAAACUUUAAAGCAUGAACUUUAAACUCAGUUGAUGGCCUAUGGGCCAAAGAAGAUUCCCUCCUAUGAUUGCUGGUUUUCUUCCACGAGUUUUAGCCGCAAGGAGUUAACUUUGCACCGAUCAAAACCUGGAUAUUUAUGUGAGUAUUCGAAAAGUUUUGAAUAAAGUUUCACAUUGACUAAAUAACAAGAAAAGUUUGAUUUUUAAAAUCAGAAAAACAUUUUAUCUAGAGUUAUAGGAUUAAUUCUUUACUUCGUCCAUAAGUUUCACUUGGUUCCACCUUAUUUUUAUAAAUCACUUACUGAUAGUUUUAUGCUUAGAGUGCGUAAUUGGUAGUUUCUCGCCAUUAAAAUACUUUUUUUCAUUGUGUUACGUUUGACAAACAUGAAACUUAAAAAAGUUAGAUAAGUAAAAAGUUUCUGAGAAACGUAAGAUAAUAACUAAUUUUAAGUCUGUUAUUCAUCGUGAGAGAUAAUGACUAUUCUUGAACACACAUAGAUAAGCAAUCCCCUUCUAAAAUAGUAAAUUCUAUAAUCAAAAUAACAUCAAUCAUAAACUAAAACUAAAUUAAAAACAAUAAAUAUGUUAGACUUCAAGACCAUAUUCGACUCCGAUUCAAGUAAAAAUAUAAAGGAUUUUAAUAGAACAUUAACAAAUGACAAAUGAGACUUAAUUACAUUUAUAAUUUAUUUUCAAAAAGUUGAAUUUGUGUUCUGGACCAGCAAAAUUUCAUGUAUACCACUACGUUAGUCACGAAGUUAGAACUUACUGCAACCUAACCCUUUUUGACGGAUAUAGCCACGGUGGUAUAAAUGUAACAAAACAUGUAAUUAGUUAUUAGUAACCUAUUGUGCUUGGUAGUAUUUUAAUCUUAAGAGGAAAAUAGAAAGGAUUGAGCUGACAAAACAAAGUGGAUAAUAUACGACUACGACUACAUGUGACAUACAUAUACAAUUUUAUUGUACACGUAUAAAUGUAAGUAUGAUGACGAUGGAUUGAAAGGAAAGGAAGCAGACAGAUCAGUUUGAUGAAUCAUCAUCAACGUGGGAGGAACAAGAAUGAUAAUAUGAGUAGGAUUCUAAGUCCCACAGAUACAAUGAAUAAUGUUAUCAGAUAGCUUACAACAAAACAACUUCCUCAUCAGUUAUAAGUCACCUUUCCUAAGUGUUUUAGACCCGACCUUGGUGGAAAAUCCUUGGCACUGAGGUGAGUCAUGUCAAAAACUGCAUUUUGACCAAAACCAAGUCCUAAAUGACCAUUGGGAAAAUUCUUUGUUCCCCAGUUCAUUUCCUACACAAAAAAAAAAAAAA